UAUCAAUAAGCGGAGGAAAAGAAACCAACAGGGAUUGCCCUAGUAACGGCGAGUGAAGCGGCAACAGCUCAAAUUUGAAAUCUGGCGCAAGCCCGAGUUGUAAUUUGUAGAGGAUGCUUCUGGGCAGCGGCCGGUCUAAGUUCCUUGGAACAGGACGUCACAGAGGGUGAGAAUCCCGUAUGUGACCGGCGCGCACCCUCCACGUAGCUCCUUCGACGAGUCGAGUUGUUUGGGAAUGCAGCUCUAAAUGGGAGGUAAAUUUCUUCUAAAGCUAAAUACCGGCCAGAGACCGAUAGCGCACAAGUAGAGUGAUCGAAAGAUGAAAAGCACUUUGGAAAGAGAGUUAAAAAGCACGUGAAAUUGUUGAAAGGGAAGCGCUUGCAACCAGACUCCGCGGCGGUGUUCCGCCGGUCUUCUGACCGGUCCACUCGCCGCCGCGGGGCCAACAUCGUCUGGGGCCGCCGGACAAGACUGGAGGAAUGUAGCUCCCUCGGGAGUGUUAUAGCCUUCAGUGAUGCGGCGCGUCCCGGGCGAGGUCCGCGCUUCGGCAAGGAUGUUGGCGUAAUGGUUGCCAGCGGCCCGUCUUGAAACACGGACCAAGGAGUCUAACAUCUAUGCGAGUGUUCGGGUGUCAAACCCCUACGCGUAAUGAAAGUGAACGGAGGUGGGAGCUUCGGCGCACCAUCGACCGAUCCUGAUGUCCUCGGAUGGAUUUGAGUAAGAGCAUAGCUGUUGGGACCCGAAAGAUGGUGAACUAUGCCUGAAUAGGGUGAAGCCAGAGGAAACUCUGGUGGAGGCUCGCAGCGGUUCUGACGUGCAAAUCGAUCGUCAAAUUUGGGUAUAGGGGCGAAAGACUAAUCGAACCAUCUAGUAGCUGGUUCCUGC
This 885-nucleotide ribosomal RNA is filed under the name Microcyclosporella mali. Its description in RNAcentral is "LSU rRNA". It matches the Rfam family "Eukaryotic large subunit ribosomal RNA", at positions 41 to 961 of the family's 3401-position model. The record is from RNAcentral. Lineage: Eukaryota; Fungi; Ascomycota; Dothideomycetes; Mycosphaerellales; Mycosphaerellaceae.